CAGCAGCCGCGGUAUACGUAGGGUGCGAGCGUUACUCGGAAUUACUGGGCGUAAAGCGUGCGUAGGUGGUUGUUUAAGUCUGAUGUGAAAGCCCUGGGCCCAACCUGGGAAUGGCGGUGGAUACUGGAUAGCUAGAGUGUGUCAGAGGAUGGUGGAAUUUCCGGUGUAGCGGUGAAAUGCGUAGAGAUCGGAAGGAACAUCAGUGGCGAAGGCGGCCAUCUGGGACAACACUGACGCUGAAGCACGAAAGCGUGGGGAGCAAACAGGAUUAGAUACCCUGGUAGUCCACGCCCUAAACGAUGCGAACUGGAUGUUGGUCUCAACUCGGAGAUCAGUGUCGAAGCUAACGCGUUAAGUUCGCCGCCUGGGGAGUACGGUCGCAAGACUGAAACUCAAAGGAAUUGACGGGGGCCCGCACAAGCGGUGGAGUAUGUGGUUUAAUUCGAUGUAACGCGAAGAACCUUACCUGGCCUUGACAUGUCCGGAAUCCUGCAGAGAUGCGGGAGUGCCUUCGGGAAUCGGAACACAGGUGCUGCAUGGCUGUCGUCAGCUCGUGUCGUGAGAUGUUGGGUUAAGUCCCGCAACGAGCGCAACCCUUGUCCUUAGUUGCCAGCACGUAAUGGUGGGAACUCUAAGGAGACUGCCGGUGACAAACCGGAGGAAGGUGGGGAUGACGUCAAGUCCUCAUGGCCCUUACGGCCAGGGCUACACACGUACUACAAUGGUCGGUACAGAGGGUUGCAAUACCGCGAGGUGGAGCCAAUCCCAGAAAGCCGAUCCCAGUCCGGAUCGAAGUCUGCAACUCGACUUCGUGAAGUCGGAAUCGCUAGUAAUCGCGGAUCAGCUAUGCCGCGGUGAUACGUUCCCGGGCCUUGUACACACCGCCCGU
This 889-nucleotide ribosomal RNA is filed under the name uncultured Lysobacterales bacterium. RNAcentral describes it as "bacterial SSU rRNA". It matches the Rfam family "Bacterial small subunit ribosomal RNA", at positions 509 to 1397 of the family's 1533-position model. Lineage: Bacteria; Pseudomonadati; Pseudomonadota; Gammaproteobacteria; Lysobacterales. The record is from RNAcentral.